Molecule: ribosomal RNA, 253 nt
Filed under: uncultured bacterium
Lineage: Bacteria
Description: partial 16S ribosomal RNA
Rfam family: Bacterial small subunit ribosomal RNA
Source: RNAcentral
UACAGAGGUCUCAAGCGUUGUUCGGAUUCAUUGGGCGUAAAGGGUGCGUAGGUGGUCGGGCAAGUCAAAUGUGAAAUCCCGGAGCUCAACUCCGGAACUGCAUUCGAUACUGCUUGACUAGAGGAUUGGAGAGGAGACUGGAAUUCACGGUGUAGCAGUGAAAUGCGUAGAUAUCGUGAGGAACACCCGUGGCGAAGGCGGGUCUCUGGACAACUCCUGACACUGAGGCACGAAGGCCAGGGGAGCAAACGGG